Long non-coding RNA from Acinonyx jubatus (cheetah), 1922 nucleotides. RefSeq lists it as uncharacterized. The transcript is spliced from 2 exons. NCBI's taxonomy places the organism in Eukaryota, Metazoa, Chordata, Mammalia, Carnivora, Felidae. The record is from RefSeq and is a predicted model, not a curated record.
ACCCUGAAACGGAAGAAACCACGUGCGUGUGACCAGGGUGGAACAAUUCUGAGUCGUUUCUUUUUGUAGGUUCUUAAAUUCCUGCAGGAACAUCGCACUUACUGCUUCACCCGUGCUUCUGAAGGCAGGCUGGAAAUGGAAGCUGUCUGCCUGUCUCAUGUACUCAUAAACACUUCCUCAAAGCAGUGUGGUUUCUUCCUCGGCACCUGUGCUCACUUUCUGGCUCUUAUUCCUCCACUCGCUCACUGUCCUCGGUUGUGUCACUUGCUUCAAGCAAUCCAGGUCCUACAUUUAGAUUCAUGGCUACGUAUCCAUCAGCUGUACCUAAGAACCACUAGACUGGCACAUUCCCCUGCACCUUAUAUGUGGAGGGCAGCUUCUGAGGAGGGGAUGCUGGGGACAGGAUAGCAGGUGUAGAGCCUCGCUAUACAUUUGCCAAGUAUGGUCUGCAGAACAGCAAUGGAGCCAUCACAUGGAGCGUGCUAAACAAGCAGGAUGCUGGACCCUACUCCAGAACUACUGAAUCAGAGCCUGCAUUUAACAAGAUCCCCGCAUGAACGGAAUGUCGAAUGGACAUUACAGUUUGAGAAGCUCUGGUGUAAAAUCUGAAUAUAUUUGGAGCCAGAUUUUAGAAUUCACGGAGGGGGUAUCGUUUCUGUAAGUGCAAGGCUACUUCUAGAAUAAGGAAAUAAAUACUAUUAAUCAAGUAUUUAUUUGUGGGAUGCAUUACUUGCUUUCUUUGAAAUAAGAGGAAUAAAUAAAUCCAAUUAUUUUACGGAUAGGGCCUUAAAGCAUCAUCAAUAAGUUUAAUAACCUUCCACAAUGAGACUUAAAUACAUACUCUUUUUCUUUGUAUUUUAAUGAAUCUUUUCAUAAGGCAUAGUUAAAUCGUAUUAGUAACAAAUAGGCAUGUUAUCGUAAUUUAAUAAUACUGAGAAAUAAUUCCUCCCAAAAGGGAAACAGGGCAUAAACAAGUGAAUUUUACAUGAAGUAAAAGGAAUCUAAGUGCUAGAACCCUCCAUUUCCACAUGCCCUUACAGGGACCAGCAACUAACAUGCUAUUCAAGUCUUUGUUCUUUUUCUUAAAGGCAGACUCAAAAACUAUAUAACUUUGAACCUCCAUAAAACCCGGAACCAUCCCUGGCCUAAUUAAUUAUGAAAACCAUUUUUAACUUUGGAAUAUACCACUUUUUAGUUUCUUUCAAUAUACUAGAAAAUACCUCAAAUUAUAUCACAAUCAUAUAGUCUACAAAUGAAAAUAACUAUUGAAGGAGGACCUGGAAAUAAUUCUGCUCAUAGGUAAGAGAAGUUCUUUGUAAUAAAAAGAUUCUUAUCUUUCAAAGUUAUCAUGUAACACCAUUAAACUAAACAAAUACAUGGUUUAUUCAUAUUUCUCUUCCGCUCUUCUUUUUCUCCCAAAUUAACUAAAAAACCUGAAUAUUGCUGGGGGAAGGGGAAUAACUAAAAGAAAUACACAAAAAUACUUUCUGGGCAUUUUUGUUUACUUCCGCUUUAUUAUUUUCUUCAAGUAUUACAAGGUCAUAUCUACUUGUGCUUCUUUGCGUGUUUUAGAAAAUACAAAAGGUAAAACAAAAAAGUUUUAAAAAAUACACAGAAAAAAUGAGAUAAAUUCUGCUAACACUUUAGUGUCUCAAACUAUUUAGAUAUAGAUAUUUUUAAUGUGAAUUUGAGUGUGUAUAUUUGUGUGUAUUUGUGUUUACGUGAGUUGAAGAGUUCUGAAAAUUGCUAUUUCAUCCACCAAACUCCUCAUAUAGUUUUCCAGAGAAAGAAAAACAGCCUUGCCUUUUAUAUUUGGCUACAAUGUAUUUCUUAGGUAUCAUUAUCAGUUAAAUGAUCUCUCAAUGUUGGGAACUUUGUUUCUGAUGUUUCAUUUUUAUAAAUAAAGCUAUUGUGGAAAUGGC